ACCCCAGGGCAGGCGGGGCCACCCGCUGAGGUUAAGCAUAUCAAGAAGCGGAGGAAAAGAAACGUACAAGGAUUCACCUAGUAACGGCGAGCGAACCGAGAACAGCCCAGCGGGAAAAGCGGCGGGCGGCGGCCGAAGGGGAGGCGGGAGAAGCGUCCGCGGCGGCGGACCGGGCCCAAGGCCCCGGGAAAGGGGCGGCCAGAGAGGGUGAGAGCCCCGGCGGGCCCGGACCCGGGCGCACCACGAGGCGCGGGCGCCGAGGCGGGUUGUUUGGGAAUGCAGCCCCAAUGGGGCGGGAAAGUCCGUCCAAGGCUAAAUACGGGCGAGAGACCGAGAGCGAACAAGGACCGCGAGGGAAAGAGGAAAAGGACUUUGAAAAGAGAGGCAAAGAGGGCGGGAAAUGGGCGGGAGGGAAGCGGAGGGGGGCCGGCGAGGCGCCCCGGGCGGAUGUGGAACGGCCAAAAGCCGGGCCGCCGAGCGGCGCGGGGUGCGGACCGACGCGGAGGGGGAGGGCGGCGAAACCCCGGGUGUCCGGGAGCGGCGGCCCCGCGAGCGGGGAGGCAGCGCGCGCCGGCACGGCGUGCUUCGGCACCGGCGCGCGCCAGGCGGCGGCCGGCGGGCCCCCCAUUCGGCCCGCCUUGAAACACGGACCAAGGAGGCGGACAUGUGUGCGAGUCAACGGGCGAGGAAACCCGGACGGCGCAAGGAAGCGAAUUGGCUGGAUCCCCUAGCGGGUGCACCGACGACCGACCGGGAGCGGCGGAGAAGGGGCGAGGGAGAGCAGACCGGGCGGGACCCGAAAGAGGGGAACGAGGCCGGAGCGGGGCGAAGCCAGAGGAAACGCUGGUGGAGGCCCGAAGCGAGACGGACGUGCAAAGCGGGCGGCGGACGGGGGAGAGGGGCGAAAGACGAAGCGAACCGGCGAGGAGCGGGGCCCGCCGAAGGGGCCCGCAGGAGAGCGGGAGCGCAGGCGCGAGGGCGAGCAGGGAAAGCCAAGGAGGAGAGGCCGCGGGGGCGCAACGCCCGCGACCUAUUCUCAAACUUUAAAAAGGGAGGACGGCGCGGCGGCGGGGGGAGCCGGGCCAGGGAAGCGAGAGCGCCAAGGGGGCCAGGGGGAAGCAGAACUGGCGAGGCGGGAGGAACCGGAAGCCGGGUUACGUGGCCCAACUACGCGCUAACCUAGAACCCACAAAGGGUGUUGGUCGAUAAAGACAGCAGGACGGUGGGGCAGGGAAGGCGAAAUCCGAUAAGGAGUGUGUAACAACUAACCUGCCGAAUAAACUAGCCCCGAAAAUGGAGGGCGCGGAAGCGCGGGACCUAUACCCGGCCGGCGGGGCAAGGGCCAGGCCCCGAGGAGUAGGAGGGCGCAGCGGGCGCGGCAAAACCGGGGCGGGAGCCAGGGCGGAGCGGCCGUUGGUGAUGAUCUUGGUGGUAGUAGCAAAUUUUCAAAUGAGAACUUUGAAGGCAGAAGAGGGGAAAGGUUCAAUGUGAACGGCACUUGAACAUGGGUUAGUCGGUCCUAAGAGACGGGGGAAGCCGGGCCGAUAGCGCGUUUCGCGCGAGCAUCGAAAGGGAAUCGGGGGAAAAGUCCUGGACCGGGACGUGGCGGUUGACGGUAACGUUAGGAAGGCCGGAGACGGCGGCGGGGGCCUCGGGAAGAGUAUCUUUUCUGUUUAACAGCCGGCCCACCCGGGAAUCGGCUCAGCCGGAGGGAGGGGCCAGCGGCGGGAAGAGCACCGCACGGGGGGGGGCCGGGGCGCCCCCGGCGGCCCGGGAAAAGCCGGAGGACCGAGGGCCGACCACGCCCGGGCGUACUCAUAACCGCAUCAGGCCCCCAAGGGAACAGCCUCUGGUCGAUGGAACAAUGGAGGCAAGGGAAGGCGGCAAAAGGAGCCGGAACGGCGGGAAAAGGAGGGGCGCGGAGGGCGGGGCACGGGGGUCCCAGCCCCGAACCCGUCGGCUGGCGGCGGACGGCUCGAGCUGCUUCCGUGGCGAGGGCGGGGCGCCGCGGGCCGGCCGGGGGACGGACGGGGAACGGGCCCGGCGGGGGCCGGCCCGGGCGGCGAACAGGCAACGCAGAACGGGGACGGACAAGGGGAAGCCGACGGGGAAGGAAAACAAAGCAGGGCGAGGGGCCCGGCGGAGGGGAACGCAAGGGGAGGGCGGCCCAGGGCGCGGAAGGGCAAAGGGAAGAAAGGCAACCAAGCGCGGGAAACGGCGGAGGAACGAGGACGCGCGGAAGGGAGCCAAAGGCCGCGGCAGCGAAGGAGGGACGCGCAGGAAGGGAGGAACGAGAGGCCCACGGGCCCGGGCGACGAGCCAGCGAAACCACAGCCAAGGGAACGGGCUUGGCAGAAGCAGCGGGGAAAGAAGACCCUGUUGAGCUUGACGUUAGUCCGACUUUGUGAAAUGACUCGAGAGGUGUUGUAUAAGUGGGAGUUUCGGCGUAAGUGAAAUACCUUUACUUUUAAUGUUAUUUUACUUACUCCGUGAGGCGGAAGCGGGGCAAGGCCCCGCCGGGGAGACCGAAGGGCCGCGGGCGGGCCGAGCCGGGGGGAGGACAUUGUCAGGGGGGGAGUUUGGGUGGGGCGGCACAUCUGUUAAAAGUUAACGCAGGUGUCCUAAGAGGAGCGCAACGAGAACAGAAAUCUCGUGAGGAACAGAAGGUUAAAAGCGCGGGGGAGGCGGAGGGCAGGACGAAGACGAACCGGGAAAGCGGGCCGAACGAGCCGGGAGACCGGGGAAGGGAAAGCGAGAGGGGGCAGAAAAGGGACCACAGGGAGAACGGGCGGGGGCAGCCAAGCGGCAGAGCGACGGGGCGGGAGCCGGGAGAGCGGGCGCGGCCGAGCAGGGAAGCAGAAGGCACCAAGGGGGGAGGGGCACCCACCAAGAGGGAACGGGAGCUGGGGGGAGACCGGCGGGAGACAGGGAGGACCCGACGGAGGACAGGGGCGCAAGGGGAAGGCAACCGAGGACGAGAGGAACCGGGGAGGCACACAAGGGGGCAGCGCGCGGGGGGGAAAAGCCAGUGGCGCGAAGGUACCGUGUGCUGGGUUAUGACUGAACGCCUCUAAGGCAGAAGCCGGGCCAGAAGCGACGCAGGCGCCCGCCGCCGGAUUGC
Molecule: ribosomal RNA, 3121 nt
Filed under: Chenopodium quinoa (quinoa)
Lineage: Eukaryota; Viridiplantae; Streptophyta; Magnoliopsida; Caryophyllales; Amaranthaceae
Description: eukaryotic LSU rRNA
Rfam family: Eukaryotic large subunit ribosomal RNA
Source: RNAcentral